AGAAUUACAAAUUAGGAGAAAGGGUAAACAUGAAUUUGAGGAAAAUAUGAAAUUCCUUUUGGAAUUUUCGGAGCUGAUCAAAGGUGGUCCGGAUGUCUCGUUCAGAUGUGCUUUCUCUCUACAGGAGGGUCCUGCGCAUCGCACGCAGCUGGAAAGCGCAGUCUGCUCUUCCACAUGACACUGACACUGAGAGGAAAUAUAUCGCUCAGGAGGCUCGAACCCUUUUCAGACAGAACCAGCAGGUAACAGAGCCAGAAUCAAUCAAGCGAUGCAUUGAAGAGUGUGAAGCUCGGAUAGAGAUAGGUGUGCAUCUUUGAUCAAAUAGUUACU
Sinocyclocheilus grahami is the source of this 330-nucleotide long non-coding RNA. RefSeq lists it as uncharacterized. NCBI's taxonomy places the organism in Eukaryota, Metazoa, Chordata, Actinopteri, Cypriniformes, Cyprinidae. The transcript has 3 exons. The record is from RefSeq and is a predicted model, not a curated record.